Non-coding RNA from Hydra vulgaris (swiftwater hydra), 115 nucleotides. The record is from RefSeq and is a predicted model, not a curated record. NCBI's taxonomy places the organism in Eukaryota, Metazoa, Cnidaria, Hydrozoa, Anthoathecata, Hydridae.
CAAAGAAGAAUUAAAGUUCUGGUGGAUCAAAGAUCGAGGAAUGAUUUGGUUUUAACUGGUUUGCAUCUUAUGAACGAAAUUCUGUAUCUCAAUGAUAUCCUGGCUUAUCGAUACG